GGGGCUAAUACCGGAUGCUUGUUUGAACCGCAUGGUUCAAACAUAAAAGGUGGCUUCGGCUACCACUUACAGAUGGACCCGCGGCGCAUUAGCUAGUUGGUGAGGUAAUGGCUCACCAAGGCAACGAUGCGUAGCCUACCUGAGAGGGUGAUCGGCCACACUGGGACUGAGACACGGCCCAGACUCCUACUGGAGGCAGCAGUUUGGAAUCUUCCGCACUGGACGAAAGUCUGACAGAGCAACGCCGGGUGAGUGAUGAAGGUUUUCUGAUCGCAGAGCUUUAUUGUUCGGGAAGAACAAGUACCGUUACAAUAGGGCGGUACCUUGACGGUAGCGAACUUUAAAGUCUCGGGAAAUUACAUGACAUCAGCCGCGGUGAUACGUUUGUCGCGAGCGUUCUCAAGAAAUACAGGGCCUACAGGGUGUGGAGGGCGUCUCUUAAGUCCGAAGUUUUAGCCCCCGGCCACACCUGGCACGGUCCAUAGUAAUUAGGGAAAUUGGAUUGCCAAUAAGGGAAGAGUGGAACUCCCAGAUGAAGCGGUGAAACGUGUAGCGGUGAAAUGCGUAGAGAUGUGGAGGAAACACCGGGUGUGGUUGGGGAAGGCGACUCUCUGGUCUGUAACUGACGCUUAAGAAUUAAUUACUUGCGAAAAAGUACGCCUGCGUGGGGAGCGAACAGGAUUAGAUACCCCGUGGUAGUCCACGCCGUAAACGAUGAGUGCUAUUAGGGGGUUUCCGCCUUUCCUUAGUGCUGCAGCUAAUUUCCUUAAUUCCGCAUUAAGCACUCCGUGCCUAGGUGGGGCCGGUCGCAAGACUGAAACUCAAAGGAAUUGACGGGGGCCCGCACAAGCGGUGGAGGCCCUAUAGUUCUUUAGCCCUAUAGUUCUUUAUAAUUCGAAGCAACGCGAAGAACCUUACCAGGUCUUGACAUCCUCUGACAAUCCUAGAGAUAGGACGUCCCCUUCGGGGGCAGAGUGACAGGUGGUGCAUGGUUGUUCUUCAGCUCGUAAGUCGUGAGAUGUUGGGUUAAGUCCCGCAACGUUAAUAGCGCAACCCUUGAUCUUAGUUGCCAGCAUUGUCCACAGUUGGGCACUCUAAGGUUUCCGAACUGCCGGUGACAAACCGGAGGAAGGUGGGGAUGACGUCAAAUCAUCAUGCCAUCACCCUUAUGACCUGGGCUACACACGUGCUACAAUGGACAGAACAAAGGGCAGCGAAACCGCGAGGUUAAGCCAAUCCCACAAAUCUGUUCUCAGUUCGGAUCGCAGUCUGCAACUCGACUGCGUGAAGCAGGAAUCGCUAGUAAUCGCGGAUCAGCAUGCCGCGGUGAAUACGUUCCCGGGCCUUGUACACACCGCCCGUCACACCACGAGAGUUUGUAACACCUGAAGUCGGUGAGGUAACCUAUAUGGAGACAGCCGCCGAAGUCGCGAGAGAAGCCAGAUUGGGGUGAAGUCGUAAC
Molecule: ribosomal RNA, 1462 nt
Filed under: Bacillus halotolerans
Lineage: Bacteria; Bacillati; Bacillota; Bacilli; Caryophanales; Bacillaceae
Description: bacterial SSU rRNA
Rfam family: Bacterial small subunit ribosomal RNA
Source: RNAcentral